RNAcentral lists this ribosomal RNA (253 nucleotides) under uncultured bacterium. RNAcentral's name for it is "partial 16S ribosomal RNA". It matches the Rfam family "Bacterial small subunit ribosomal RNA", at positions 524 to 776 of the family's 1533-position model. The record is from RNAcentral.
UACGUAGGGGGCUAGCGUUGUCCGGAAUCAUUGGGCGUAAAGAGCGUGUAGGCGGCCCGGUAAGUCCGCUGUGAAAGUCGGGGGCUCAACCCUCGAAUGCCGGUGGAUACUGUCGGGCUAGAGUGCGGAAGAGGCGAGUGGAAUUCCUGGUGUAGCGGUGAAAUGCGCAGAUAUCAGGAGGAACACCAAUUGCGAAGGCAGCUCGCUGGGACGUAACUGACGCUGAGACGCAAAAGCGUGGGGAGCAAACAGG